Molecule: long non-coding RNA, 386 nt
Filed under: Ananas comosus (pineapple)
Lineage: Eukaryota; Viridiplantae; Streptophyta; Magnoliopsida; Poales; Bromeliaceae
Description: long non-coding RNA (ACOM_LNC029934)
Source: RNAcentral
AUUUAGAUAUAUAAAUUUGGAAAAACUUCAAAAUAAAUCCCCCGUGGUUUCGUAGUUUCUCACUUUGUCCUCGUGUGGUUUAAAACGUAUCAAAUUGCCCCCUCUGUGGUUUCGUUUUUAUCUUUUCGGUAGCUUUUUCAUUAAUAUUUUAUUAAAUUAUAUACAAAAAACUUCAGAUACACAUCUAGAUUUAUCAAAUAUUCACUUUAGUACUCUUUAAUUUUAACUUUAUCACUGAUUUAAGAAAAAAAAAUAAUAAAAUUAAUAAGAAAAAAAAAAAACCACAGGAGAACAAAUUAAUACAUUGUAAACCACAAAGGGACAAAAUGAGAAACUACGAAACUACCGGGAGAUUUUUGAAGUUUUCCCUAUAAAUUUUGGAUUCA